AGAGUUUGAUCCUGGCUCAGAUUGAACGCUGGCGGCAGGCCUAACACAUGCAAGUCGAGCGGCAGCACGGGAAGCUUGCUUCCUGGUGGCGAGCGGCGGACGGGUGAGUAAUGCAUAGGAAUCUGCCCGGUAGUGGGGGAUAACCUGGGGAAACCCAGGCUAAUACCGCAUACGUCCUACGGGAGAAAGCAGGGGCUCUUCGGACCUUGCGCUAUCGGAUGAGCCUAUGUCGGAUUAGCUGGUUGGUGAGGUAAUGGCUCACCAAGGCGACGAUCCGUAGCUGGUCUGAGAGGAUGAUCAGCCACAUCGGGACUGAGACACGGCCCGAACUCCUACGGGAGGCAGCAGUGGGGAAUAUUGGACAAUGGGCGCAAGCCUGAUCCAGCCAUGCCGCGUGUGUGAAGAAGGCCCUCGGGUUGUAAAGCACUUUCAGUGGGGAAGAAAGCCUGGUGGUUAAUACCCGUCAGGAAGGACAUCACCCACAGAAGAAGCACCGGCUAACUCCGUGCCAGCAGCCGCGGUAAUACGGAGGGUGCGAGCGUUAAUCGGAAUUACUGGGCGUAAAGCGCGCGUAGGUGGCUUGAUAAGCCGGUUGUGAAAGCCCCGGGCUCAACCUGGGAACGGCAUCCGGAACUGUCAGGCUAGAGUGCAGGAGAGGAAGGUAGAAUUCCCGGUGUAGCGGUGAAAUGCGUAGAGAUCGGGAGGAAUACCAGUGGCGAAAGGCGGCCUUCUGGACUGACACUGACACUGAGGUGCGAAAGCGUGGGUAGCAAACAGGAUUAGAUACCCUGGUAGUCCACGCCGUAAACGAUGUCGACUAGCCGUUGGGUCCUUCGCGGACUUUGUGGCGCAGUUAACGCGAUAAGUCGACCGCCUGGGGAGUACGGCCGCAAGGUUAAAACUCAAAUGAAUUGACGGGGGCCCGCACAAGCGGUGGAGCAUGUGGUUUAAUUCGAUGCAACGCGAAGAACCUUACCUACCCUUGACAUCCUGCGAACCCUUCGGAGACGAAGGGGUGCCUUCGGGAACGCAGAGACAGGUGCUGCAUGGCUGUCGUCAGCUCGUGUUGUGAAAUGUUGGGUUAAGUCCCGUAACGAGCGCAACCCUUGUCCCUAUUUGCCAGCGAUUCGGUCGGGAACUCUAGGGAGACUGCCGGUGACAAACCGGAGGAAGGUGGGGACGACGUCAAGUCAUCAUGGCCCUUACGGGUAGGGCUACACACGUGCUACAAUGGUCAGUACAAAGGGUUGCGAACUUGCGAGAGUGAGCCAAUCCCAGAAAGCUGAUCUCAGUCCGGAUCGGAGUCUGCAACUCGACUCCGUGAAGUCGGAAUCGCUAGUAAUCGUGAAUCAGAAUGUCACGGUGAAUACGUUCCCGGGCCUUGUACACACCGCCCGUCACACCAUGGGAGUGGACUGCACCAGAAGUGGUUAGCCUAACCUUCGGGAGGGCGAUCACCACGGUGUGGUUCAUGACUGGGGUGAAGUCGUAACAAGGUA
Molecule: ribosomal RNA, 1499 nt
Filed under: uncultured Halomonas sp.
Lineage: Bacteria; Pseudomonadati; Pseudomonadota; Gammaproteobacteria; Oceanospirillales; Halomonadaceae
Description: bacterial SSU rRNA
Rfam family: Bacterial small subunit ribosomal RNA
Source: RNAcentral